This 253-nucleotide ribosomal RNA is filed under the name uncultured bacterium. Its description in RNAcentral is "partial 16S ribosomal RNA". It matches the Rfam family "Bacterial small subunit ribosomal RNA", at positions 524 to 776 of the family's 1533-position model. The record is from RNAcentral.
UACGGGGGGAGCAAGCGUUGUUCGGAUUUACUGGGCGUAAAGGGCGCGUAGGCGGCGCAACAAGUCACUUGUGAAAUCUCCGGGCUUAACCCGGAGCGGCCAAGUGAUACUGUCGUGCUAGAGUGCGGAAGGGGCUACUGGAAUUCUCGGUGUAGCGGUGAAAUGCGUAGAUAUCGAGAGGAACACCGGUGGCGAAGGCGGAUCUCUGGGCCUGUCCUGACGCUGAGGCGCGAAAGCUAGGGGAGCGAACAGG